Long non-coding RNA from Mauremys reevesii (Reeves's turtle), 3107 nucleotides. RefSeq lists it as uncharacterized. NCBI's taxonomy places the organism in Eukaryota, Metazoa, Chordata, Testudines, Geoemydidae. The transcript has 4 exons. The record is from RefSeq and is a predicted model, not a curated record.
UUUGAUUUCAAAAAGAGCCGGGGCAGUGAUGGAUGCUGUAGGAAACCCUCAGAAUGGGUCAAGAUCAUUGCAAUGCUGCAAGGCCUGCUGAGAAACCAUGUGCACAAGAACCCAAGCCCAGAUUCACCACUUGAUUUCUGCAGGAGGCAGUGGACAUGUAAAAAGUGCACUGACUAAAGCCUUAAAUGCAUAGAUCUUGGCUACGCUCCGGAUCUCCUUGAGCCCAGACUUGUUGAAAUCUGCCUUCAAGACAUCUAGGCACCGUCUAAGGAUCCCACCAUCCCAUCUUAAACUGCGAUACAUUUCAGAUCCCUGAACUCAGAGUUGCUUGCUACACCCUGAUGAUGCAUCAAGAAUUUCAGUCUGUACAGGCCAUGUUAUAUCUUCCUCCUGAAAAAAAUCCACCAACUUUGUGGCUUCCGUUGAUUACGUUUUGCCUAGAGUUCCCCUUAGGGGAAAAAUUUAUAUUCUACUGGCAAAUGCAACUUAAAAGCCAUUUAGCUAAAUGGAAGGAUCUCUAAUGCAGAUUUGUUGGACGGGCGCUUCCUCUGGGAUAUCCUAUCGCAUACACAAAAUGUAACCAGAUAUAACUAAACAAAUUCAAUCAUGCAACAGAAACUGGAUUGUUUGCUUAAAAUUGCAGCAUUAGUCUAGCCAACAGAGGUCAGUGCAAACUAAAUAAAAGGUCUUUCAACGCAGCUUUCCCCUGUACAACCAGUCACAGCCCUGGAGAGAGACUGAAUGAACUAGUGGCUGUUAAAACUUCCUUGCUCCUUUCCCCUACCAGGUGCUUCAUCCCUGACCAAGAGAGAGCACCUCAGGGAGUGAGAUGGAAAUUAACUUGUUCUUUGGCCUCUUUGCUGAGCCUUAUUGGCCUUCCCACCACUUGGCAAAUAUCCAUCAUCAGCACCAGCUCAAUAAUGCUCCACUCCAUUCCUGUGCCGCAGGACCACUCAGCCGGGGAAAUGGCUUCUUCCUCAGACAUUCUCUUUGGCUUGGUUACACGGGGAAUGGAUAGUGAUCGCUUUGUCCUUGUGAGAUGCAUGACUCGCGGAUAGGAGCAGGAGCUCACUAGAUCUUCCAUACAAUCCGCCCCCCCUCAUCUUUCCACCACUCUCCUCAUAGCACAGCUGAACAUACCUGCUCUCUGUACUGCAUUCUUCAAAUCGGAGACGUCCAGGAAUCCAGAACCGGUUCCCUCUACCCUCCUGAAAAUGUCCUGGAAACCAUUUUGAAAGAAUUCAGCUUCUUACUUUUAAGCCAACGUCAGUGGCCCAAACUUGUGCUAUGACCUAGCAUGUUGGCCACUCGCCAAUGCAUUUCACUUUCUCCUUAAUGAAUUAGCUUAGUGGAAACUCAGUGCAACAUCUGAUAGGGGGACUAGAAUAAGACAGACAACUUUUCCAGAAAGAACAGCUGGGUGAUCCUUGCUCCUGGACUGAGGGGGCUUACUGAUGGGGGCAGUGAGGGAUUGAUGUUAUGCUCCUUCAGAGCAUUGGCCUGGCCUAGUGCACUGAGACAAGGGGAGAAAGAAGACAGAGGGGAGCACUGAUCACCUUGGGAUAUCCCCCUGCCAACGACGGCAUUGUUGUGGAACUGCAGGGUAAACAUGUCUGAAUGGUUAUAGAGUUGUGACCUUUUGUGUAUAUCCCCUGCACUGUUUUACUUGUUCAGACCAAAGCUUGUAUCUCCAUGACUGUACCAACACAAAGAGCCCAUCAAUAAUGACUCAACUGAAAGAAUAGUUGCAGAACUAAUUUCUGUGGCACUAGGUGAGGUGACAUCCUUCUAUAGACUCCAUAUUCUAAAUACAAUAGGCUAUGUACUCAGCUCUGUUGACUUGAAUAGAGCUAUGCCCACUUAUACAACAGAUGAGGAUCUGGCCCAGUAGGUUUAGCUUGGCCAAAAACCAUCCUGUGAGAUACUAACCACACCAAAUGGUGGUAGGCUAUAAAUAGCAAGCAUGGAGAACAGUUGUUCAGGAUAGCCCAAACAGAUCUAACAGGUGAAACCAAGGAACAUUGACUGUACCAGAAUGUCUUUCCUAAUUCUGGGGUCCCUUUCUCUGUCCUAGAGUCUCUUACAGGAAGUGGGGGAGGGGGAGAAGGAGCCCUGUUACCUUUUCUAAACGAUGCAAAUACGGUAACGGACAAGCAAAGUCUGUAUUGGCCGGGGAGCAUGGCCUUUCCAUGGAUUGUAUUAUCCUGUGCAAUGUGCCUGGCUGCCAUGAAAUAGGGCAAUAGCCUUUCACAGAAACAGGGUGGAUAAUAGGACGACAAAUAGGUAAUCCAGUCUAAGUGCUUGUACUCUCCAGGGAUACUCACCAUCUUGCUACUGCAUAUGAGCAACCACAGUCCCAUUGACCUGUGGGAUUAUUCCUGUGUAUGUACGUGCAGGACUGGGACCUAACAGCUUCUCUAACCUACUCCUCAGGAUCUGCCGUAAGGGCAGAGCACUUAAUCCUUGCCAGAGCUGUUCUUACCAGUCAGAACAUUUGACGGGGGCCUCUCAAUCCAAUAUUUGAGCUCCCUACUUUUGAAUGAUAAGCCAGGUGCUUUAUCUACUAAGCGUCAGCGCCUUUGUUGCGGUCUUUCCACCCCACACUAUUUUAAUUUCAUAGUGUCUGCAUCCCCUUGAUUAAAAAUGCAGCACUAGCUGAGAAAAUGGGUCCCUGACAGCUCACAUGUACCUUGUACUUAGCAAGGAGUUUCCAGAGGUGCUUAAAUUCUUGCAGGGAGAGUCUUCCAUUAGACUUGAGCUGCAUGUGUGGUUAAGGCUUAAAUGUUUAGUGGCCGCUAAUCUUGGGUUUCCUAGGGGCAGGAUGCCAUUUAGGCCAGGGCUUGCCUCACCGAAAAGUAGAUGCAGGAAGGCCCCCCCCCUCACGCACACCAUGGGCCCUGAUAAAGGUAUCCUGCGGCCAUGAAGGUUGGAAUGUCAGGCUUUAAGCUGGGGAAGGCUAAGGUUUUCCUUCCUCCGCGCAGGGGUGGGAGGAGCUAUAGACUGCACAAAAUAAAUGUGACAAACUAAAUCUAACUGAGGGCCAUUAAGCAGCAAGGUUAUAUAGUGCCUUUCGCAGCAAGGGAUCAUGAGGCUAUAACUCCAGUGUA